GUGUGUGUCGCAGCCCGGGUCACAUGUCUGUGGUCCGGUGCUGGCCUGGCCCUGUGCCUUCCCCUGACCGGGAGGUGGUGGCCGGCCCAGGCAGCUGACUGCUGCGGUUCACGGGGGAACUGAACCCGCGGGUUGUGUGACGGUGCGGCACCACACAAUGGAGCGACUCACUGUCAGACGACACACACGCACACACACACACACACACACACACACACACACACACACACACACACACACACACACACACACACACACACACACACACACACACACACACACACACACACACACACACACACACACACAGACCCUUCUCCAUCCAGAACAUUUCUUAGCUGUUCUACUGCGAAGGCUGCUGUUUGGUCGGUUUGUGACAUCCUUUCUCUCUUCCCCCCUCUAUGAAGACAUUUAAUUUCUUUCCCACCCUGUUUUGACGGGAGGAGUUGAACCCUCACACGUUGUUUCCCUGUUUGUGUUUGAGUGUGUGUGUGUGUGUGUGUGUGUGUGUGUGUGUGUGUGUGUGUGUGUGUGUGUGUGUGUGUGUGUGUGUGUGUGUGUGUGUGUGUGUGUGUGUGUGUGUGUGUGUGUGUGUCUCUCCUACUCUGUAUGUAAUAAUGCUGGAUGGAAUAUAAUUGGGAUACUGAUAUAAAAUGGGCCCCGCACGCUACAGGGAAUAGCGGGGAGAAUAUAAUAGCCGUUCCUGCCAUGGAUAUUUUUUUCAGAAGGGGGGGGGGGGGGAUCUAUUCCUUCGUCAGUUCCGUCGUCUACCAGCCCCCCCCCCCCCCCCCUUUAUUUCAAACGUGCUCUGGAAGACACCAGACUUGUGUUUCCUUCUUCUUCUUCCUCACUCUUCACUCUUUGGAUUAUAUCCGGGGAAUGCUCCAUGGGCUGGAGUACUUUGGAUGGUCGAGGCAUUUCUCUGCAGUCUGUCAGGGGCCAGGGAAAACCUGCCAUGAGCAAGACACUACCUGUGGUCCCGGAUUGCUCCCCCUUAUUAUCGUUCAUGAUAAUAAUCCUCACACAACAACAGCCGAGUCCUGAUUAUGGGUCGGUAGCGGAACGCCGCCCUGCUACACCUGAUACCCUGACCUUCCUUCAGCCAAUCACAAGCCAUCACCACCUCGCUGCAGCGGGCGUAAGACGCUCUCUGCUAAAUUAAUUAUUCAGAUUGGCCGCUGGAAAGCAUUGCCAGCAACCGUGUUGAACAACAUCUAUAAUGGCUUCCUAGCGAAGGAUUAAUCGCCGCGCGAGGCCACCGUCAAAGCUGACACGCCACAGACUGUCACAUGUAGGUGAUAUGUGCACGUGUGUGUGUGUGUGUGUGUGUGUGUGUGUGUGGGUACAUGUGUGUGUGUGUGGGUACAUGUGUGUGUGUGUGGGUACACACGUAGGUGUGUGUGUGUGUGUGUGUGUGUGUGUGUGUGUGGGUACAUGUGUGUAUGUGCCAGACAGGCAGGCACGAAGGGAUACAUCAGAGACGAGUUCACGGAGAGAUCAGGAAUUUAUCUAACCGGUUAUUUCUUUUUAAUCUGUCGUAUUAACAACAUCCGGGGUCAUGUGUUGUAUUUCUCCUGCCGUCUCUGUUGUUAUCGGCGCAACCUCUUAAACAUGUUGUUCCAGAUUGACAUUAAAGAGACAAAUAAGUAAUAAGACGUUGUUAAAUAUUUACCACGGGCGGAAGCGGGGGAAAUAAAAUCCCCGGAGUGGCUUUUUAAACAGAGUUUAGAGGCCUUCCCCGCACUGUUUACAACCCUUCUGCUGCUGUUUAGCUUCAACCGCAGUAGGAAAAGGGCAAACAUCCACAGAAAUCCACAGUCCUGGUUUCCAGUGACAUUUCACUAGGGUCCGGAGAAUAGGAGUGUGUCCUUUACAUUUAUUUUCUAGUACAUGGGGGAGGAUGGAGAAGAGGAUGGAUGGAGGAAGUGUGUGUGUGUGUGUGUGUUUGUGUGUGUGUGUGCGUGUGCGUGUGCGUGUGCUGGUGGUGUUUGAGAGUGAUGAAGAGUGAGAAUCUGCUGGUGUGUCUCUGUACUGGUGGUGGUUCAGUGUGACCAGAUGCAGAAUGAUAAUCUUAUUGUGUGUGUCUCUGUGCGGUUGGUGUUUUAGUGAGAAGCUGCUGUUGUGUGUCUCUGUGCUGGCGGUGUUUGAUGUGUGAUCAGAUCAAUAGUGAGAAUCUGCUUGUGUGUGUCUGUGCUGGUGGUUGAAUGUGAUCCGAUGAAGAGUGAGAUGUGUCUCUGUGCUGGUGGUGUUUUAGGGAGAAGCUGCAUGGUGUGUGUCUCAGUGCUGGUGGUGUUUCAGUAUGAUCAGAUGUGACCAGAUGUUUUGCCCGUGGGUAAUUGAGUGAUUUGCUGUACUGGGUGUUCUAGGCUUACAGCAUGAUUGACAAUUCCAACAGAUUGAGUUAAGGGUGGCAGUGUGUGAUUUGUUUGAUAGAGACAAAAGAAAAAGAGAGAGGAAUCCCCCUAAUUGAAAGUGAGUGAUGUCUUUCAUCUACCCUGGUCUCCUUGAUCACAGUGUAGGGCCGAUUGAAGUAAAAUAAAAAGGACAAUGAAUACAUUGGGAUUAUUAGAGGAACAUGGCACAGUAAUUAAUUCAAAUAUAGAUUUUAUUUGUGUCUUUUAUUGACGGCGCCAUACGAAAAUCCAGCUGAAAGGUAUUUAAAAGCAUUCUAAAGCUAGAAUACACUUGCGGUGUGCAGAAGAAAAGGAAGUAUCCAAUUUACAUCAUCCUCUCAAUUUACAGUGUAAAUGGCUGCUUCCAAAACGGUUUUGCACUUAUCCUAUUUACAUUCUGUAAUGUAAGUAUAAACAUGGGGUAUGCGUGCGGUUUUUAAAACGGUCGCUGCUUUCAAGGCGGCGUGCGAGGAAGGCGCGCGGAUGAUCCAGAACAGCGGCAUAGGUUUGUAUCUCGCUCGCGUGAUCGAGUUUGCAAAGGGGUAGCAAAAUAUCCUGCGUACAAAAAAAACCAACAAGAAAAACCAAAGAAAGUAAGUGCUGAGCAACAGCAAGGUGUGAGGCACCGAGAGGGUCUGCGUCUGCACUAGGCUAAUAGAAACGCACGCAGGAACCGCGCCAGAGUCUUAACCGCCGCGGCGGAGUGCUCGGGGAAACUGAGCGCCGGGCAAAGUGAACAGGAGCCGGUUGCUGUUCAUUCAAAAUAUAAAAAACAAAAAAGUUUAGGAGAAAAUAAAAAGAGGACAAUAAAGGGAGAGUACGAAGCGACAGCAGCAUCCAGCAGGUAUUCAGCGGCGAGAGGUAGAUUUAGAUGUGUCGGCUGUUGUUGUUUUGAUGUUUUCCCGGCGAACCAAAUGUUCCUAUCAUGUUGGAUCCCACCGCCCCCUCACCGCCAAGCAGACAUCCAAACAAUCCGCUCUGUGUGUUUCCCAGUCACAUGCGAUGGGAGCACAGGAGAUCCAGCGUCAGCCUGUCCUGGCAUUUCCUGGGGCUUUGUAAACAAACAUACGAAUACACGCGCGUGGACCCACUCACACACACAUACAGGCAAACACACACAUGCAACCACACACCAGACACACACACGCGGAUACACAAACACACAGGCAUGUACACCACACACACUUUCAUACACACACACACACAUGCACAUACACGUACACACACACACACACUUGAGCACACACACUUAAGCACACACACUUGAGCACACACACUUUAGGAGACACACAUGCACACGUACGCACAAACAAAUGAUGGUAGCUAGAGUUGAACAUACUAAUCGAGUUUUGCUAUCUAUCUAUAAAUAAAGCUAUUUUAAAGGAAUUCUGGAAAGUCAAAAAUCGAGUAUGCACACACACACACACACACACACACACACACACACACACACACACACACACACACACACACACACACACACACACACACACACACACACACACACAACUCCCUGCAAAGUCGUCCCCGUUUGAGAUGUAACAGAAAUAGAAAUGGAUGUAAUACACUUCCACGUCUCUAAAGAGGUGGUACGAACUCUGUUCCUACCUCCUCUGUUUACAGGGAUUCUCUGCAUUCAGACAGUGUUUUGGCAUAGGUGUAAAAUAGAGGCAGAUUGAAGGGAGUUUCAUCACCUUUACAUGAUGCUCUGCUCCCAUUAUUAGGCACUUUAAAAUGAUGUUGUAUUUCUAUAGACUAGCAAGUAGACUCUCUCCAAUACAGAAAGUGUUACUGUUUUCAAAAUGCUAGAGAGUGAACUCGAGUUUAUGCUGUUUUGGUUCACUAUUUGCUGUGUUUGUUAAACAUAUAAUGUGAAGCCAUU
Gadus macrocephalus (Pacific cod) is the source of this 4275-nucleotide long non-coding RNA. RefSeq lists it as uncharacterized. The transcript is spliced from 2 exons. The record is from RefSeq and is a predicted model, not a curated record. NCBI's taxonomy places the organism in Eukaryota, Metazoa, Chordata, Actinopteri, Gadiformes, Gadidae.